AGAACCUUUUUAUAUUUAUUAGGUCAUUCAUUCAAAAAAUACUUACAUAUACAUCCCCACUAGGGCCAGCCUCCAUGCCACAGAGGGUGAGAGAGGGUGGGUCACGGAUUUAUUAAGCACUAGCUGUGUGCUGCUACUAAUAAUAGCAAUAUACGAUGUAUAUUUUAAUAAUACUGAUUGGAAAUGGAGCUGAUAUAUGUUAUGGCCAGCAGAGGGCACAUCUGCCCCAGAAGCCUUCCUCUCAGGUCAGCGAAACUGACCCAAGAGCUUGGGCUAAUGCUGUUUCCCAGGCUGGUGAAGUCCUCACUGAGGCCGUGUCUGGAAAACACCCACCAAUGACGCCCAAUUCGGGGCCUUUGCAGCAACAUUCAUCUUUGAUUUAUUUAUUUAUUGUCUUUUUAGGGCUAUGCCCAGAAGAUAUGAAAAUUCCCAGGCUAGGAGUCGAGUAGGAGCUGCAGGUGCCGGCCUACACCACAGCCACAGCAACACAGGAUCCCACCCAGUCUACAACCUGCACUGCAGCUCACGGCAAUGCUGGAUCCUUAACUCACCUUAACCUAUUGAGCGAGGCCAGGGAUCAAACCCUUGUCCUCACGGGUACUAAUCGGGUUCGUUACCGCUGAGCCACGACAGAAACUCAGGAAAGUGACUAUUUUAAAGAGUUUCAAGACUCGUUUCACUGAGAAGGUGAGAUUUGAGUUAAGGCCUGAGUGAGAUGAAGGAGGAGCCAAAGGAAAUAUGGGAGAGGGCACUUCAGGCAGUGGAAACAGUGAACAAAAACACAGUGGAAAUGUGUCUGGAUCCUUUGCAGUGCAGCAAGGAGGCCAGUGACUUUUUUUUUUUUUUUUUUUUUUUUGGACCGCACCCGUGGCAUAUAGAAAUUCCAAGACUAAGGGUCCAAUCCAAGCUGCAGCUGCCAGCCUAUGCCACAGCCAUGGCCACCCUGCAUCUGCGACCUACACAGCAUCUUGCGGCAACGCUGGAUUCUUAACCCACUGAGUGAGGCCGGGGAUCAAACCUGCAUCCUCAUGGAUACUUGUCGGGUUCUUAACCUGCUGAGCCACAACAGGAACUCCUGCAGAGAGUGGGGGUUUCUUAGCGGAGCAUGGAGUUAAGAUUUUUCUAUCAACAGAAGUAAAAUAGAGGGUGAAGGUGAGGUGCAGUCUAGGUUCAGUGGGAUCUGCUUUAGAGUUUCUGGCAAUGGUCAGCAGGAAGGGCUGGGGACCCCAAGAGGCAGCACUUGAGGCGGCGCUGGAAGCAAGGCUUCAGCACUCUGGACAGUGUCACUAGCGUCUCCCGUAGACCAGGAGGAGGAGCCUGAGGAAGCGACCUAUUAGAAGCGGCGUGCUGUAGCGGAGAUUGAGAAACCGUCCAAUUAGCUCUUGUGCCAUGACGUGCGAACGCUGUCCAGGAGCGGCGCCUGUGAAAAGCUUCUGGGCGUAGCCUGUUGAAUGGGCAAGGAAAGAGUGGUGCGUAAAGAGGCUGCUUUGGGGCAGCAGAAAGCGGUUUUUGAAACGGUGAUGUUGGCAGAGGCGGGGCCUGGGAUGGUUUAUUGGCCCCUCAAGUGCAGGCUUGAGCGAGCUUCUAGAUGCGUGAGCAGGGCUGGGACUCAGUAGAUAGACCAACCUCCCCCUUACUUAGGGUCGCCGCAACUACGCAGGGAAACCCCAAACUGGAAGUAAGGUGUGGUACCCAGUAGGGGUGGGUAUUACGUACGAUCCCAGGAGGUAGAAGGGCAGGAAUCAAGUUUCUGGGUAUGGAGUUGGGGGUUUCGAAUACCUCUUGAAGUUGAAAUAAGGAUCCUUGGAGCCCUGGGUGAUUGUGCAAGGAACCUGGAUGGUCAGUGUUUUCUCUAGUUUAUCCAGCCGGGAUGAGAGCUGUCCUGUGAUAUUCUAGGCCCCUACAGCCUGGCUGCCAGGAGGCCAGUUUUUUGGGGAGACAGACACUAAGGAGGCCAUGUGCCCAGGACUUGAAACCUAUGUGAAAUGACCUCUUUGGCCACUCCCUAAACAUCCUUGCUUAUCUUACCACUGCAGAAUGGAGAGCUAGUGGGUAUGGCCCCCUAUCCUUCCUGUAUCUUGGGGCAAGGUAAUAUAUCUCUCUUGGUGGAGUCAGCUGUCUGGGAUAUGCAGUUUUAACCCCUUUUGUGUCUGGAAGUUGGUCUCUCACCAAGUCCAGUGGACUUUGACACAUAAAUCACUGUAAACCUCAGAUGGACCAGAAUUCAAGCCUCUUUGCUGGUCUCCCAGUCAAUAUUUUCUUCUCUUCCACACCUGUUGUUUGUCCAACAGGCAAAAGGGACUGUUCUGAAGCACCACUAAGCCUAGGUUCUUCC
RNAcentral lists this long non-coding RNA (2335 nucleotides) under Sus scrofa (pig). Its description in RNAcentral is "lncRNA (ENSSSCG00000053460.1)". The record is from RNAcentral. Lineage: Eukaryota; Metazoa; Chordata; Mammalia; Artiodactyla; Suidae.